RNAcentral lists this ribosomal RNA (495 nucleotides) under uncultured bacterium. RNAcentral's name for it is "partial 16S ribosomal RNA". It matches the Rfam family "Bacterial small subunit ribosomal RNA", at positions 30 to 507 of the family's 1533-position model. The record is from RNAcentral.
UGAACGCUGGCGGCGUGCCUAAUACAUGCAAGUCGAGCGAACGGACGAGAAGCUUGCUUUUCUGAUGUUAGCGGCGGACGGGUGAGUAACACGUGGAUAACCUACCUAUAAGACUGGGAUAACUUCGGGAAACCGGAGCUAAUACCGGAUAAUAUUUUGAACCGCAUGGUUCACAAGUGAAAGACGGUCUUGCUGUCACUUAUAGAUGGAUCCGCGCUGCAUUAGCUAGUUGGUAAGGUAACGGCUUACCAAGGCAACGAUGCAUAGCCGACCUGAGAGGGUGAUCGGCCACACUGGAACUGAGACACGGUCCAGACUCCUACGGGAGGCAGCAGUAGGGAAUCUUCCGCAAAGGGCGAAAGCCUGACGGAGCAACGCCGCGUGAGUGAUGAAGGUCUUCGGAUCGUAAAACUCUGUUAUUAGGGAAGAACAUAUGUGUAAGUAACUGUGCACAUCUUGACGGUACCUAAUCAGAAAGCCACGGCUAACUACGUG